This 496-nucleotide ribosomal RNA is filed under the name uncultured bacterium. RNAcentral's name for it is "partial 16S ribosomal RNA". It matches the Rfam family "Bacterial small subunit ribosomal RNA", at positions 29 to 507 of the family's 1533-position model. The record is from RNAcentral.
AUGCACGCUGGCGGCGUGCCUAAUACAUGCAAGUCGAGCGAACAGAUAAGGAGCUUGCUCCUUUGACGUUAGCGGCGGACGGGUGAGUAACACGUGGGUAACCUACCUAUAAGACUGGGAUAACUUCGGGAAACCGGAGCUAAUACCGGAUAACAUUUGGAACCGCAUGGUUCUAAAGUGAAAGAUGGUUUUGCUAUCACUUAUAGAUGGACCCGCGCCGUAUUAGCUAGUUGGUAAGGUAACGGCUUACCAAGGCAACGAUACGUAGCCGACCUGAGAGGGUGAUCGGCCACACUGGAACUGAGACACGGUCCAGACUCCUACGGGAGGCAGCAGUAGGGAAUCUUCCGCAAUGGGCGAAAGCCUGACGGAGCAACGCCGCGUGAGUGAUGAAGGGUUUCGGCUCGUAAAACUCUGUUAUUAGGGAAGAACAAACGUGUAAGUAACUGUGCACGUCUUGACGGUACCUAAUCAGAAAGCCACGGCUAACUACGUG